GGUCUUAAGGCGGCGCCUAAACAUAGGUGAAAAUAGGCACCUGGAUCAAACUUUUUACAAAAACGCUUUUAAAACAGUGAUACUGAUACUGCCGAUACGAUAAUGGCAACAACACAUAUUGGUGGUCACUGGCACUUUUUGUUUGUGUUUUUACGUUUCGGGACCAUUCUUCAUUUAUUUACAUGGCAGAAAGGCGACCUUAUUCAAUUGUCAAAUUACGAAUUGUAUUAGUAUAAUAAUAUUAAGGCGAACAAAGACUUGAAGGUCCUUUUUUCGUACAUGCGCCCUAUUUUAUUCGGUGAGGUGCUCGUGUACAGAAAAUACUGCCGUAGUAUCUUCCAAUUCGUUUUGUUUUCUAUGCUUCUUUGCCUUUCUCACUGUCUUGCACAAUGCAACGCUGUUCCUAUUGCAAGGAUUAGCUACUGAGCACGACCGAUGUUAAGCAAUGAACAGAACUGCAGGAAAAUAAUUCCUAGAAGAUACAACUUUUGUAUACAGUGAUAGUCUCUUUUUAUCACCGUACCUCUUCCCACCUGAGCAGGGUAGCUAGCCGGAACUACCUCGGCUUAACCUCAUUGCUUUUGCAUGCAUCCUUUCUCUCUCUCUGUACUUUAUUUCACGCUGUUGCUUCUUAUAAAAAUGUAUAAGGCUUGAUGACAUUAUUAUGAUUAUUAUGAUGCUUUUACGUUUUAAGGAAACAAAUAGAAAAAACUGAUCACAACGAUUGUGUGACGUAUUUCUGUAUGCUGAGAUCAGCACAGGUGUGAACUGAAAUGUAACGCUUAUAUUGUGUGAGGAGUGACUGCGGUAAGUGUUUCGCAAGUUUGCGACUGGCAGCCUUCAUAGUGGGUGCUGCACAUGAAGGCAAACACACAAAGUGUGGCUGCGUUCACGUGCGGUUCAUGUGCGGUUCAUGUGCCAAAGUGUGUUUGAUCAUAUAUACAAAAAUGUAUAUAUGACCACUGACAAACAACUUUUGCAACUUCUAUAAAUCCCUGCGAAGAAAAAGCUAUUCGCCGAUUGUUAAUGAACUGGUAAUUUUCUGAGCAACCAAUAUUACCUUGUUACUAAGCACAGCCAGAGACGAAGCUGAGGACAGUACAGAAGACGACAACGAUCACUCAUGUCGCGCGGACUGGCUUCCAUCUUGUAUGUCAGUGAAUGUUUUGUAAAUAGCCUGUAAAUAUAUUUAAAACUCUCUUCUCCGUCUAACAUUUUGGUGGAGGUUGCGUGCACUCGAAGACGCACGAGAGAUUUACGCAGCGGGCAUCCGCAAAAGGCAUCAAUCCCAAGAAGGCAUUAUUCUUUUUCGUUCAAUAGGGUGCGCUGUAGGUAAUUGGCGAGCGAUCUCCUUAUCUUAUCCCACCAUAUCUUCAUGGGUUGGAGCUGAACUUUAUAUAAUAAGUACUGACUUAUUGUUUUCUUUAAAAACGUCGCAUUUUUUCAUUAGAUGCUUUCAACCAUGUAUACUGGAGUGAAACAAGCAGGUGAAACAAGCAGUAGCUAUAACUUCUGCUUGAAGUUAUAGCUACAAAAGUUGUAAGGGUAGAAAUGUGUUGUGACAAAGAUUUCGUCUAAGACGCAUCUCGGCUUUCUUAUGGCCUAUAUAGGUCUCUGUGAGCAACUGGUAGUUUCUUAGGAGAAGUUACUCUUUGUUUAUAGAGAGAGCAUGACAAGCUAAGCAAUACUUCAUUUGAUGCUCGUAAGACUGUGUAGGAUAAUAAAUGAGCCAUGUGCCCAAUCUGCGACAAGUGUGGUGGCGAAAAUUUCAACCAUAUAAUGAAAGUGAGCAUUGCUGCUUCACUUACGUACCUCUUUGCUAUUAUUUCCCUCAGGGGCAUCUAUGCGAAGAACGGGAGUACCAUUGAUGCAGCCAUCGCCACGUUUCUCUGCAUGGGAGUCGUCAUACCUUACUCAAUGGGAAUUGGAGGAGGAUUCAUCGCGACUAUAUACAAUGAGACGAUAUAGACGCACUGAGAAAGCGCGGCCAUGUUGUGGAAAAUCGCACCGGAAGAUUCAACGUUAUCUUGGGCAUUCAGCGAGACAAGCAACGCAUCCUCGCCAACUCCAACUUCAGUAUAGGCGGCGCAGUGGACGGCGAAUGAGAGAUACUCCUCUUAAUAUGUGUUUAUUAAACUUAAGCUCCUCUGAUUGUAACCAGUUGCUUAUGUCUCUAAGAAAAUAUGAGUUGAUUAGGUAAAACGCCAGACGCCAAUCUUCCCUAUGAAAGGCUCCACGUCCUUGAUGUCCUUUUCACUGCAAAAUAAAUAUUGUGACAAAUUACAAGAGCAUUUUCAAUGAAAUAGAGAAUAUUUAAUUGCGGUACUGUUCAAUCAUUCCGUAGACGCUUCACAUCCUUGAUGUCCAUUUCAGUUCAAUAUAAAUGUGAAAAAUUACAAGAACAUAUGCAAUAAAAAACAUAAUUCCUAA
This is a non-coding RNA of Dermacentor andersoni, 2430 nucleotides long. The record is from RefSeq and is a predicted model, not a curated record. Lineage: Eukaryota; Metazoa; Arthropoda; Arachnida; Ixodida; Ixodidae.